AUUGAACGCUGGCGGCAGGCCUAACACAUGCAAGUCGAGCGCGCGGCGGACGGGAGAGUAAUGUAGGGGGAUCUGCCAGAUGGAGGGGGAUAACUACUGGAAACGGUGGCUAAACCCGCAUACUAUCGGAUGAAACCAGAUGGGAUUAGCUAGUAGGUGGGGUAAAGGCUCACCUAGGCGACGAUCACUAGCUGGUCUGAGAGGAUGACCAGCCACACUGGAACUGAGACACGGUCCAGACUCCUACGGGAGGCAGCAGUGGGGAAUCUUGCACAAUGGGCGCAAGCCUGAUGCAGCCAUGCCGCGUGUAUGAAGAAGGCCUUCGGGUUGUAAAGUACUUUCAGCGGGGAGGCGUUACCCGCAGAAGAAGCACCGGCUAACUCCGUGCCAGCAGCCGCGGUAAUAC
This 406-nucleotide ribosomal RNA is filed under the name uncultured bacterium. RNAcentral's name for it is "partial 16S ribosomal RNA". It matches the Rfam family "Bacterial small subunit ribosomal RNA", at positions 29 to 526 of the family's 1533-position model. The record is from RNAcentral.